RNAcentral lists this long non-coding RNA (869 nucleotides) under Hordeum vulgare. RNAcentral describes it as "long non-coding RNA (HVUL_LNC010220)". The record is from RNAcentral. Lineage: Eukaryota; Viridiplantae; Streptophyta; Magnoliopsida; Poales; Poaceae.
UCGUAAUUUACCACAACAUGAAAUUGGCUUCAAUAUUGAUGUACCUUUUAUGCUUCUUAGUUAGAAAUAUGAACCAAUAUUGAGGUUGUGUAAUGGGACAUGGUAGCUUUUUUGAAAAGUUUUAUUUGAAAAGGAUGGGACAUGGUAGCUCAUCACUAGACUUGACAACAUAGUCCUCGAGGGAAAAAUCAUCACUGAAACUAAUAGAUGAUAGUGUAUGAGUAUUCCUCGGAUUGUCUUGACUUCCCCCACUUUGGAAUGAUUUAAUAUACUGUUGUUUUUUAUUAAUUGUUUUUGAAAUAGCUAACCACUCAUUUCAAGUGAUUAAUAUACUGUUGUUCAUCUUCUUAGUUCAUAGUUUCCUUUUCCUCUUGUAGAAAAAGGUAUCGUCUUUCUGUCGUGGUUCUGAUGUUAUAACCAUGCUUGCUAUAGUGAUUCUGAUUUUACGACCAUGCUUUCCUUAUUUCACUACGUCCUCUAUCGUUGUAUAGUUGUCUACUGCUUGUACUCUGUUUAUCUCUACCCAUGAGUUCUACCUAUACCACAGUUACGGUGCCUAUCUAUGGACUAUUGAUUUUGCUAAUUGACAGGUAUUCCUCUACUCACACGGACUUUGUCAAGCAACUACGAGCUUCAACCGGAAAAUCAAGGGAAGGCUGUCAGCUUUGCUGCACAAAUAAGCUAAAUAUCGACCUUAUUUUGUGCAGGCCUCAAUUUCCGAGUUCAAUUUCUGAGUUUAACUGUGGCAUAUACUUCAUCUAUAUAAAUAUAUAGGUUACUUUUGACUUUUCUAUGUCAUCUUUAUUUUCAUAUGUCAAGAUAGUAAAAUAUGGAAAAAAUAACAAGCUUAUUCGGUUAUGUUGGUGCUG